RNAcentral lists this ribosomal RNA (497 nucleotides) under uncultured bacterium. RNAcentral's name for it is "partial 16S ribosomal RNA". It matches the Rfam family "Bacterial small subunit ribosomal RNA", at positions 28 to 507 of the family's 1533-position model. The record is from RNAcentral.
GAUGAACGCUGGCGGCGUGCCUAAUACAUGCAAGUCGAGCGAACAGAUGAGGAGCUUGCUCCUCUGACGUUAGCGGCGGACGGGUGAGUAACACGUGGAUAACCUACCUAUAAGACUGGGAUAACUUCGGGAAACCGGAGCUAAUACCGGAUAAUAUAUUGAACCGCAUGGUUCAAUAGUGAAAGACGGUUUUGCUGUCACUUAUAGAUGGAUCCGCGCCGCAUUAGCUAGUUGGUAAGGUAACGGCUUGCCAAGGCAACGAUGCGUAGCCGACCUGAGAGGGUGAUCGGCCACACUGGAACUGAGCCACGGUCCAGACUCCUACGGUAGGCAGCAGUAGGGAAUCUUCCGCAAUGGGCGAAAGCCUGACGGAGCAACGCCGCGUGAGUGAUGAAGGUCUUCGGAUCGUAAAACUCUGUUAUUAGGGAAGAACAAAUGUGUAAGUAACUAUGCACGUCUUGACGGUACCUAAUCAGAAAGCCACGGCUAACUACGUG